GACGAACGCUGGCGGCGUGCUUAACACAUGCAAGUCGAACGGAAAGGCCCUGCUUUUGUGGGGUGCUCGAGUGGCGAACGGUUGAUUAACACGUGAGUAACCUGCCCUUGACUUUGGGAUAACUUCAGGAAACUGGGGCUAAUACCGGAUAGGAGCUCCUGCUGAAUGGUGGGGGUUGGAAAGUUUCGGCGGUUGGGGAUGGACUCGCGGCUUAUCAGCUUGUUGGUGGGGUAGUGGCUUACCAAGGCUUUGACGGGUAGCCGGCCUGAGAGGGUGACAGGCCACAUUGGGACUGAGAUACGGCCCAGACUCAUACGGGAGGCAGAAGUGGGGAAUAUUGAAUAAUGGGCGGAAGCCUGAUGCAGCAACGCCGAGUGCGGGAUGACGGCCUUCGGGUUGUAAACCGCUUUCGCCUGUGACGAAGCGUGAGUGACGGUAAUGGGUAAAGAAGCACCGGCUAACUACGUG
Molecule: ribosomal RNA, 468 nt
Filed under: uncultured bacterium
Lineage: Bacteria
Description: partial 16S ribosomal RNA
Rfam family: Bacterial small subunit ribosomal RNA
Source: RNAcentral